RNAcentral lists this long non-coding RNA (479 nucleotides) under Pan troglodytes (chimpanzee). RNAcentral's name for it is "long non-coding RNA NONPTRT014707". The record is from RNAcentral. Lineage: Eukaryota; Metazoa; Chordata; Mammalia; Primates; Hominidae.
GUUAAAAAACUGAUUUUGUAUUAAGUAUCUUCUCAGACCAAAAGAAAGUAAAACCAUAAAUCAAUAUAAAAAAGGAACUUUGGAAACUGUAAAAAUAUAUGAAAUCAAACGCCUUGCUCCUGAAUGACCAUUAUGUCAAUAAAUAAAGAAGAAAAACAAAACAUUCCUUGAAACAAAUGAAAAUGGAAACGCAACAUACCAAAACCUACGGGAUACCGAAAAAAUAGUGCUAAGAGGGAAAUUUAGAGCAAUAGAUUUCUACUUCUAAAAAACUGAAAGCUCAGAGACUAACUAGUAGAUCAGUAUUCCAUGGCACAAUUUCUGAAUUUGAUUUCCAACCUUAAAAAAAAGAAGGGUUAUGGUCUUUUACCCACCCUACCAAACCCUAGCUAUAUUGCCAGAUGUUUGCUAAACUUCUUUAAGAAAUUAGCAUAUUUUAUACUUUUGAUAUUUUUACCUGCUAUAAGUCAUAGAGGCAA